CGAGUCUUUGCAGUAAUGCAAGGCAUACGGCUCAGUAACACGUAGUCAACCUACCCUAUGGACGAGAAUAAUCUCGGGAAACUGAGCAUAAUUCUUGAUAGAUCAUAAUGCCUGGAAUGGUUUAUGGUUAAAAUGAUUCGUCGCCAUAGGAUGGGACUGCGGCCUAUCAGCUUGUUGGUGAGGUAAUGGCCCACCAAGGCGAUUACAGGUACGGGCUCUGAGAGGAGAAGCCCGGAGAUGGGUACUGAGACACGGACCCAGGCCCUAUGGGGCGCAGCAGGCGAGAAAACUUUGCAAUGUGCGAAAGCACGACAAGGUUAAUCCGAGUGAUUUCUGCUAAAGAAAUCUUUUGCCAGUCGUAAAACCGCUGGUGAAUAAGGGGUGGGCAAGUUCUGGUGUCAGCCGCCGCGGUAAAACCAGCACCUCAAGUGGUCAGGAUGAUUAUUGGGCCUAAAGCAUCCGUAGCCGGCUUUGUAAGUUUUCGGUUAAAUCCAUGUGCUCAACGCAU
RNAcentral lists this ribosomal RNA (508 nucleotides) under uncultured archaeon. Its description in RNAcentral is "bacterial SSU rRNA". It matches the Rfam family "Archaeal small subunit ribosomal RNA", at positions 54 to 567 of the family's 1478-position model. The record is from RNAcentral.